RNAcentral lists this long non-coding RNA (10197 nucleotides) under Eutrema salsugineum. RNAcentral describes it as "long non-coding RNA (ESAL_LNC001144)". Lineage: Eukaryota; Viridiplantae; Streptophyta; Magnoliopsida; Brassicales; Brassicaceae. The record is from RNAcentral.
GCCCAAAGACCAAAUCUGUUUCGAAGUCGAUCAAAGCCGGUCUCCAGUUUCCGGUGGGGAGAAUCACUCGUUUCCUGAAGAAAGGACGAUACGCCCAGAGGCUCGGUGGUGGAGCUCCGGUUUACAUGGCCGCCGUUCUCGAGUACCUCGCCGCCGAAGUAAGUUUCGCGGUUCUCUGUUAAUUUCAGAUCUGAUUUGUUAAAGCAGCGAAAUCAUUUUCUGAUUCCUAAACUUUGUUUUGAUUGCAGGUUCUGGAGCUUGCUGGUAACGCUGCGAGAGACAACAAGAAAACGAGGAUCAUCCCGAGGCAUCUUCUUCUCGCGAUCAGGAACGAUGAAGAAUUGGGGAAACUUCUCAGCGGAGUCACAAUCGCUCACGGUGGUGUCUUGCCCAACAUUAACGCCGUUCUUCUCCCUAAGAAGUCGUCUGCUAAAUCGGCUGAGGAUACUGCAUCCAAGUCACCAGCCAAAUCUCCCAAGAAAGCUUAAUUCAUCUUCUCCAGUUUACGUUUUCAUUCACCAGUUUUUUUUUUUAUGUUUUGUAUUGGGUAUUUUGUUAGUGUUGGGGCUUGGUGAAUGUAAAAAUGUUGAAAAAGUCGAGCAUUUUAGUUUAAUCUUUAGGGUUCUACGUAUUUCGGUUUCGAAAGUUGUUCAGAUCCUCGUAUUUCCUAAGUAACAAUUAAAUGAUAUUUCCAUAUUCCAAUCCGAUUCGUGUUCCCUGAUACUACAAUCUUAAUCUCCUCUCUGUAAUUGUCUUUGCCUAACUUAAUAAUUCAAUCAAAGAUGGUGUAGACAAUCUAAUUUGUUUUGAUCCGUGACGAAACACAUUUGAGUAUGUGAAGACCGUGUGCAAUUCUUUUGUUCAAGGUGAACGAGUCAUUAGUAACACUCAGUUUGAAUGAUUCAUUUCAUAUUAAGACCAUGUACAUCAGUGAACUCAGGGGUUCACCAGAAUAUAAUAAUAUUUUUUUAUUUAUUUUAGUUUUUAUUUUUUUUUAAAUUAAAAAAUUAUAAUUUUCGACAAAUCAGGAUGCUCCAUUUCGGGAUGAACUGUCUCUUCAGAUUCGUCGGUGUCUCUUCAGUAUUAAGCUCUUUUGUCUCAAAAACUGUGCCAUGAACCCCUCUUGAUCCUCUAAUGUACAUGCUCUAAGCAUCUCACGACCAUGUAUAACGCUUGUCCAAGCUUACGAUGGUCUCGAUCCUAAACCUUACUCUCUUAUCAGUUUUGUUCUACACAGAGAACUUUGGUACUGUGUAAUACUCGCCGUGCUUGAUUAAACUCAUAAAUAAUUACUCGCCGCGAUUUUCCUCUUCCCUUGACAAGAAUUCCACCAAAACUGUAUCUUGUUAUUUCUUACAUUGAUUCUAUUGUAAGUGUAAAGUGUAAACAACGUUAAUAUUGCAUAAACCGAGAAUUAAUGCCACAGCCACAGAUUUGAGGAGGACAUUACUUUGGACUUUUAUACUAGCAGUCUUGCUUGGGUCAUAACUCGCAUGAUCAUAUCAGCAUUAGUUAUGAAAUUUGAGUGAUUUGUAAGUAUGCAUGGUGUUUGCAGAUACGCGUUCCUAAUCAAAGUGAACCAACAUUUUAUCUUAAUUUGCAGAUGGUAGGUGAGAUUAUAUGCAAUAGUAUUUGUCGUUUGCUCGAAUCUGCAGGGUGUUAAUUGCAUGCCGGGAAAAGAAGAGCACAAAAAACCAACAACGACAAACUUGAACCCAACUUAUCAGUGAAUCUGACUAAUUAGGUUACUAUAUAAAGCUGAAAACAAAGUAGUUUUAUGAAAGAAAAAUAUUUUACAAAAGCAUAAAUAUAUCAUACGACAAACAUGUCAUAGACUCAUAAUGCAAGUUUUGUUGUAAAAACAUAAAUAUGUCCUGGUCGAUAUAUUAGUAAGUAGAGUAGCAACGACCAUUACUUUGUUAUAUUCUGAAUCGCAUAAUCAAGGAAAAAAAAACUUCUUUAUGUACCUGCAGGGUCUUUUUGGAAUUUAACGGUGAAAGGCUGUAAGCAUUUCCCAGCCAAGCGCAUGGACCUCUCACGAGAACAAUAACCACACUUUGGAGAACAAUUGUCUUUGAGUUUCCGCGGAGCAUCCUUAACCUCAAGAGUAUAUCCUCCCAAAGAACUUCCAUUGAGUUCUAACGCCUUGUCAACAUUAUUUUCCAGAUCUAUGUAAGCAUAUCUGUAAAAUGAGAGAAACAACAACAACAAAAAAAAGAACUAAAAUCUCUGCAUUUACAUUUAACUUGAGCUGUGACGAAGUUGAGGAAGAAUUGAAGUCACAAACCCACUGCCACGGGGAACAAAAACACAUGUGAUAUCUCCACAUGAACCGAAAUGUUUAACCAAUGCGCUCUUAAUAUCAUCCCUGGGAAGGUAAGGAUCAAAUCCAUUGACGAAAAUGGUUCCCCUAUAUCUCGAUGGAUUCACCUUUCCCUUUGAAGUUUCCUUCUCCUAUAGAAACAGUUUGAAAUAAUUAAAGAAAUCAACUAUAUAAAGUGUGAAGCAAUCAUCUCUCAAGCAACAAAAACAAACUAAAGUAAACACUUAAACAAUAAAAACAUAUACCGGUAGAUCAGGCUUUGGCAGUAACGUCUCCGGUACAUCAGCAUUUGUCAGUAACUUCUCCGGUACAUCAGCCUUUGUCAGUAACUUCUCCGGUACAUCAGCCUUUGUCAGUAACUUCUCCGGUAGGUUUUUUAUUGUUUCAGUCAUCUCUUUGAUAGAGUCUUUCAACCUUUUGAUUUCCUGCCAAUAGAAAUGUAAAUAAGAAAAGCUUGCAAAAUUAAUCCUAUUCAUUAUACUUUUUUGAAGACUGUUAUCUAAAUAAACCGUAAUGGUGUGAUAAGAGAGAAUCUUAUUCACAUCAAGAACAUCUUCUAUGGUAGAUGCCUGUCUAUCUAUAUUAACGUCAUGCGUAGCCAUUUUCUUGGACGCUGGUACUUCUUUCCCUGAAACAAAACCAAGAGAUGUGAGAUAAAUCCAACAAAAAUCAAAUGAUAUAACAAAAAACAACACAGAAAAUCUUGAAUUCGCAAAAACAAAGUUUCCUGUAUAAUUAUUGAUCAGUGCUCUUACAAGAAUUCAUAUGAAAAUAAAAUCCAAACGUAACGGUUGGUCAUUGUAAAAGUGAUCGCUGGAACAGAGAUGGAUAUCAAGACUUCUUAAUCCGGCGAUUAUUACACUUUAUCGAAAAGGACGAUUCAGUUAUUAUCUGGUUAAAAUUACAUGUAUUCUUAUAUUUGCAAGAUGUGUAUUUUCUUUUGAAUUGUAUGACCUAGUUUAUGUUCUGUAUUUGUUAAUUUUAUAUUGCAAAAAUAUAGGAAGAAUAUUAGAAGUUAACAGUAGGUGCUGAGAAAUCAAUGGAAUCAUGGUGCAAUAUUCCAACCAAAAAUGAGGAAAAACAUAAAAAAAACUUACAAAAAGCGCAGGAAAUUUUGAUUCCAAAUGAAAACUCCAGAAUAUAUCUCAAAUCAAUAUUAUUACAGUUGGGAGUACAGAAAAAUAGUCUAAAUUUGAGUCUACAUUAUAGAACCAACUACCAUGACUAAGACUUGUUGUAGAUUUAAUCCGACCAAAUAAAAAUGAAGUAGUUUGCAAAAAGAAAGAUAGCCAAAUCGACAUAAAAUCCAAUGGUCGGUAAAAAUAAACAAAUUCAAUGAUUUCUCCAAAUCACAGAUGGUCUAAUAUGAUCUGAGCAAAUAAAGAGAGAACACAAAAGACACCCAAUUAAUUACCUUUUCGCGAAUGCUCGGUGGAUUUCUUGCGUUUCUUAUUUCCUAUAAAGAUUAAUAUCCAAAAAAAAAAAACACUUGAGAAGAGAUCUUAAACGGAUAGCAAAGGAAGAAGGUGCCAACCAAAAAAAAAUAAUAAUCCAAUUUCCUACCUUUUGCAUGUUCAACCUAAAAACAGGAGAUACAAAAAAAGAAACGCAUUAGUAAGAAAGUUCUUAAAAUUGAGUAAGUAAUUAGUAAGAAAGUUCUUAAAAUUGAGUAAGUAAGAAGAACAUAGAAAGAAGAAAAAUACAUCGGUGGAUGCAGAGCACUUCUUGAGAUCCAUGCCCACUUUGUCCAUGAGGAGUUGAGAAAAUAAGAGAUGAGCUGCCGCUACGUUAAAAAUAGACUGCAUAUUUAUAACUCUUUUUUUUUCCAUUCUGGUCUUAGAUGAGAAUUUUUGGGCUGUGUUUUAUGGGCCAUGGGAUCCUAAACAAAUUUGGAUAACCCAAAACAUUGUCUUCGAUAUAUUUCUAUAAUUAUUCUGUGUGUUUUGUGUUUAAACUAAUCGGAUCUGUUUUUGCUAAAUGAAAUGAAACUUGUCGGAUCUGUUUCAUCGAGUGACGGCAUCUUGUUUGUUGAAGGAGGCAAGCUCGCCGUGGGAUCUGGAGAAGAAUCACGAUGCUGACAUGUUGAUGGUUGCAGAAUGAGAAAAAGUAUGACAUCCCAAUUUCUAGUAUAUAUAAAAAAUGUUUAUAAAAUUGAUUUGGAUACCUAUAUCAUUAAAUUGCACUUAUAUUUUUAAGCAUUGGUCUUUUGAGAGAACUUCAGAGUUAAGCGUGUUUAUGCUGGAUCAAUUCGGGUGAUCUACUGAAAAGUAGUCUGCGGUACCGUGUUCGUGUGAGUGAGGAUAAAGCACAAGAAAAUAUUAUGUGAUGAUUACAGAGACAGUAGACAAGUCUUAUGAGCCUCCCAGAUCAAACGAUUCCAGACCAUUGGAGAUGAGUGGGCCAACAGACCUAGAAAAAGGACGUUGGACCCACGGAUCUAGAGAGGGCGUUGGGCUCACUGGUAAAUGGAGUUGGGGGCGUUAGAGUUGUUAAUAGCCAAUCCUGAUGAAAUGCGGGAUCAGCGUCUCAUGAAUUUCAUAGCUGGGCCCGUAUGUUUCCUGGAAGGGAAGAAGAGAGUGGGGUCUCACAAUGUGGUAUCAGAGCCUAAAUUAGCCAACCGGCUCUGAUCCGGGUGUCUCUUGGGAUGUAGAUAAGGAAAUACGAGGAAGAAUUUCUUGGAAAUCGGGGAGAAUGUGACAUCCCAAUUUCUAGUAUAUAUAAAAAAAUGCUUAUAAGAAUUGAUUUGACUAUGUAUGUCAUCAAAAUGCAAGCACGCUGAAGCAAUCUCAUGAUGGGUGAUUUACAAGGAAGUGGUCUAUGGUGCCGUGAGAGUGAGGACAAAGCACGAGAAAAUAUCAUGUGGUGAUUGUAAAGACAAUAGACAAGUCUUAUAAGCCUCCCAGACAAAAUGAUUCCCGACUGUCGGACAAAGGUGGGCCAACGGGCCUAGAGAGGAUGUUGGGCCAACAGGCGUAAAUAAAGGACGUUAGACCCAUGGGCCUAGAGAGGACGUUGGGCUCAAUGGUAAAGGCGGUUGGGGUGUCAGAAAUGUUGAUAGCCAAUCUAGAUGAAAUGUGGGAUCAGAUUCUCAUAGAUUUAAUAGCCGGCCCGUCUAGUUACAGAAGGGAAGAACGAAGAGGGGUCUCACAGAAAGAUGAAGGCCUGUUCGUUUUUUGAUCUAGAUUUUGCAUCUAAAUUUAGCAUUUAGAUGUUGCAUCUAGAUAUAUUAUCUAGAUAUUGUUUUUUUUGGAAAUUUAUUUUGCAUCAAGUUGCAGCGUCUAAAUACAAAAUUGUUCGUUUCUGAAUUUAGAAAAAUAGUUGGAUGAAAAAUAUAUCAAAUGACUAUAUGGGCAUCUCCAAGAGAGACUUGAGAAACUUGAGAAACUUCAAAUUUGAAGUUUUAGGUAUUUCUCUCCAAGAGUGACACUUCAAAAUAAACUUCAAACAAAGUUUAUUUUGCAUUAAAGUCCUUACUUCUCAACAUAAUUAGUGAAACUCAUUAAAUAUUAUAAAUAACUAUAAAACAUAUAUUAAAAUUUUUUAUAGAUAAUAUUGAUUAAUUAAACAUCAUUAAUAUUAUAAAAAACCCACAAACAUAAUCAAAAAUAACAAAAUAAAAUACUAAAUUAUUCACUGACAUUAUUUAUGUGUGUUUUUAAUUUAGUUUUUGUAAUGUUUAAUGUGAUAUUUUAAUUUGAAGUUGUUUUUUUUAAUUUUGUAUAUGAAAAUUACAGUUAAAGAUAUAUAUGAAAUAAUUAUCAAACAAAUUAUAGAAUUAAAAUGAUAAACAAACAUAACUAAAAACAUUAUCUAUAAGAGCAUCUCCAAGAGAGACUUCAUAUCUUCAAAUUUGAAGUUUUAUGCACUCCAAAACAGUGGCGGAGCCAGAAACUUUUUUCAUUGGGGGCAAAUAAGAGUAUAUAUAAUUUUAGAAGUGGGGGCAUUGAUAUUUGGCUUUAAUAAACUACACCAAAAUUUUAAAAUCAAUGGGGGCGAAUGACCCCAUGUUAGACAAAGUGGCUCCGCCACUGCUCCAAAAGAGACUUCAAAUCUUCAAAUUUUGAAGAUCUGAACAGUGACACUCUAUAUUUGAAGUUUUACUAUUCAGAUCUUCAAAUUUGAAGAUUCAUCUUUUUUUUGCAUUUUGGUCUUUAUAAUUAACUAUAUUUAUAUAUUUAUGUUCUUUUAUCAUUUUAAUUUUAUAACAUGUCUGAUAAUUAUUUCAUAUAUAUUUUUAUAAUUGUAAUUUCAAAUUAACAUAUCACAUAAAAACAUUACAAAAAGUAAAUUACAAAUACAUAUAAAUAUAACAUAAUAUUAUUAUACAGAUUUAUUAAUACAACAUAAAGUUUUUUUAGAAAAUAUUAUAAGCACACAUAAGUAAUACAAAAAUUAAAAUACUAUAACAACACUAAUAAUCAGACAAAUUUGAUCCUGAACCUCUAAGAUCACCAAAAUACUAACCCUAUAUAUUUAGAGUUGGAAGUUGUUGUUGUUCUUGAGUUUUUUUUUUGUAUGAUUUUUGCUUGUUCUGAUCGAAUAAACUCACGAGUAUUACUAUCAACAAUAGAGUCUAAAUUUGUUUGCAGUAUUUUAUUUUCUUCUUGCAUUUCUUUUAGAGCCAACUUCUUUGCUUGAUUUUGCAUAUGUAAUUGAAUUGGCAAUCAAUGAGAAUACCCGAUUUCAACAACUUUUAGCUCGUUAUCUAUAGAUAAAAUAUAAAGAAACACAUUUAUCACUUCGAAAGGCAUUGAUUGAUCAUAUAUGAGAGUUUUACGAAAAUAAUGUUAAUGAAUAAUUUAGUAUUCUAUUUUGUUAUUUUUUGUUUGUGUGUUUUUAUGAUAUUAAUGAUGUUUAAUUAAUUAAUAUUAUAUAUAAUCGUUUUUAAUAUAUGUUUUAUAGUUAUUUAUAUUAUUUAAUGAGUUUAGCUAAUUAUUUUGAAAAGUAAGGACUAUAAUGCAAAAUAGAAAAAUUUUGAAGUUUAUUUUUGAAGUAUCACUCUUGGAGAGAAACACCUAAAACUUCAAAUUUGAAGUUUCUGAAUCUUCAAAAAUGAAGUCUCUCUUGUAGAUGCCUUAAAGACACUUAAUUAUAAGAAUCAAAAUGCAAAAAAAAGAUGAAUCUUCAAAUUUGAAGAUCUGAAUAGUAAAACUUUAAAUAUAGAGUGUCACUAUUUAGAUCUUCAAAAUUUGAAGAUUUAAAGUCUCUUUUGGACUGCAUAAAACUUCAAAUUUGAAGAUAUGAAAUCUCUCUUUGAGAUGCUCUAAGGACAUACUUUUGAAUAAUUUGAUAUACUUUUGAAUAAUUAUUUUUAUUUAUAAUCAAUUUAGUUUUAUAUUAAAUUAACCUAAAAUUAUUUCAAAGUGAUAUUUUUAUCAAAUUAAUUUUUAAAAUACAUAAAAAAUAAAUUUGCAUUUUUUUGUGGGAAAACAUGAUUUCGUAGAUUUGUUAGGGAUUUUUUUUUGCGUUUUGGCGAGAAGUUAGAAUUUGAGUUUCGGCGAGAAAUUAAAUUUACGUUUCUUUGGAAAUUAAAACCGAGAUUUUGCGUAUUGUCGCGAAAAAAAAAUAAUUUUUAGCAUUUGUGGUGGAAAACUGAGAUUUUGCAUAUUUGGCGGGAAACCUAGAUUUUGUGUUUUUGACGGGAAAACAAUAUAUUUUGCGUUUUUUGGCGGGAAAAUGAGAGUUAGCGUUUUUGGGGAGAAAAAUGAGACUUUAAGUUUUUGACCAAAAUCCUAGAUUUUGCAUUUUUGACGGGAAAACAAGAUUUUGCAUUUUUGGCGAAAAAAUGAGAGUUAACAUUUUGGGCAAGAAAAUAAGUUUUUUCACUUUUGGUGUAAAACCGAGAUUUUUUAUUUUUUACGAGAAACCGAAGAUUUGCAUAUUUACCGGAAAACCAAGAUUUUAAGUUUUUGGCGUGAAAAUAAGAUUUUAGGUUUUAGCGAGAACUUGCGAUUUUGCGUUUUUAGCGGGAAAUCAAAAUUUUGCGUUUUUUAUAGGGUAAAUGAAAUUUUCCGUUUUUGCCAGGAAACCAAAAUUUGCUGUUUUGGCUGGCAUCGAAGCUUUUCAUUUGACGGGAAAAUUGAGAUUGUGCAAAUAUGGCUGGAAAACGUGAUUUGGCCAAAAGCCGGGAUUAUACAUUUUAGCGAUAUUUUUUGUUUUUUUGAGAAAUGAUUUUUUGCUAAAAAUGAUUUUCCUUAUAUAUAUUAUGAAUAUGGUACUAUAUUGAAGGGUAUUUUAGUCUUUUGGUUUUGAGAUGCUAGAUUUGCAGCUAGACUCUACAUUUUUCAGCAUCUCAAAUAUCUAGAUUUUUGAGAUGUUGUUGAGUUUGCAUCUAGAUGCAGCAUCCAGAUGUUGGUUCUAAAGUGUCAAACGAAUAUUAUUUGAACAUUUUCAUCUAGAUACAGCGUCUAUAUGCAAAAAUGAACCGGGCCUAAGAAGAUAAGAAGCACCAGGAGUGGUGGCCGAAGGAAAAACUAUAGCAGCAGAAGAAUGCUAAGAGAGGCGGUGGUGUCGUAUGAAGCCGUCGUGAGGCAAAAAUUUGAUUAUUUGAGCAAAAAAAUCAAAUAAAACAACAAUGCAUAUGUCAUGUCAAUGAAGGCUAAAGCCCAAAGUCUAAUUAGCCCAUUUCAGUAUAUAAAAUUAUAAAUCCAAAAAAUAUUGAAUUGAUUUAGUGGAUAUUUCCGUUUAAGCUUAAUCAGUUAAUUUUUUUUGGUUGCCAAACAUACUUUUAUUAUAAUUUUAAAAAAAAAAAAUAUUUUAAAUCUCAAUUGCUCAUAUUAUUUAUUUUAUUUUUCUGUAAUUCCUUAUUUUUAAAAGUCAUGACUGUAAGACUUUUAUUGGUUUAAAGCUAAUUUUCUUUGUUUUAACAGAAAAAACAUUUUAAGUAUUAUUUUUAAGUAAAGUCUACAGUAAAUACCAUAUACCAAGCAAUAUCUUCAUUUUUUAAGCCACUUUUUUUUUAAAAAAAAAUCAAACUUUAAAAUCAUUUGCUGUUAAGAUAAAUAUAGAGUAACAACACAUACCAAACAAGCCCUAUAAAUUCUGACUUUUAUUUUUGUAAAGUCACAGUUAGUAUUAAAAGUUAAAAUUUUCAAAGUACUCAAAUAUAAAUUAAAAGUUCCAGUUUUUACCUUUUAAAAGUUGAUAAUGUUUAAAGCAUACUUUUGCUUUCUUUAAGCUUCAAAAUCACUAAAAUUUCUACAGUUUUUAUUUCUCGUUGUUUAAACCAAUAGUUUAUGAUUUUAUUUGGCUUGUAGGCUUUGUAGGCUAUAACUUUUUAUUUUCCAAUUGCAAUUCCAUUUAUAAAUAGGAUUAAAGUAAAUCCCACAACCAAACAGGAAAAAAAACUGGCGCCGUAUCGAAAAUUCGAAAUACAUGGAAACGUUUCUGAUUGGUUAAUCCGAUCACACGAGGAUCGCAUCUUAUAUCAUCCUCUACCGUCGAUAGGACCAAAUCUAACGGAUACAGAUCUUCUUCCUGCUUUUGUCCCGCUCAACUAUAAAUGACACUGAGGACCGGGAUCUAAAACGACACAAAACUAAUACAAAUCUUCUUCCUUCUUUCUUCUUCAGAAUUCGUGGCAAUGGAAACGACAGGAAAAGUGAAGAAGGGUUUCGGAGGAAGAAAAGCCGGUGGCCCAAAGACCAAAUCUGUUUCGAAGUCGAUUAAAGCCGGUCUCCAGUUUCCGGUGGGGAGAAUCACUCGUUUCCUGAAGAAAGGACGAUACGCCCAGAGGCUCGGUGGUGGAGCUCCGGUUUACAUGGCCGCCGUUCUCGAGUACCUCGCCGCCGAAGUAAGUUUCGCGGUUCUCUGUUAAUUUCAGAUCUGAUUUGUUAAAGCAGCGAAAUCAUUUUCUGAUUCCUAAAUUUUGUUUU